Caenorhabditis elegans is the source of this 144-nucleotide non-coding RNA. Lineage: Eukaryota; Metazoa; Nematoda; Chromadorea; Rhabditida; Rhabditidae. The record is from Ensembl.
UUUUCCUUACUAUUUUUGGUUGGAGAAAUAGAGAAAAAAGAAUGGAAGGAAGAAAUCAUAGGCGCGGAGGUGGAUCUCGAGAAGAGAACACUCGAAGAAUGUGAGUUUUUUUGGACCGAUUUUCGCACGAUUUGUCUACAAAUC